GUGCUCUUCAUUUAUGGAGGCUGUUGAGUCUGAAUGUUGGAUGUUGUGUAUCUCGUGUUCUCUGGGCUUUGUUGUCCUCAGUCUUUUUGCAGGAUCACAAAACAAAACCAGGAGGCGCGUAAAUGUUUCUUCUCCAUGAUGUUUCUUCAAAUGUUUCUUCUGGAUGAUGAUAAGACUGUGACACGGGAUGCCACCUUUGGUCUUGUGAUGAAGCAAAGCUCAGGAAGAAGUGUGAUUAAAUGGUACCCACAUGUGUGCUGCUGAGAAGGAUGUACAAGGGCACCUGCAGCCAAAUCCAAGCCUCAGAGCAGCGCGGCAGUUUGUGCUCACAGAUGGUGACGGUGUGGAGAGACGGUGGUGUUUCCUCAGAAGAACCAGCAGAGUCACUUGCUGACUGAUGUUCGUCUGCACUGCACAGAGGAAAUCAACUGACCGAGGAGUGUUUCUGAGUGAGGGGGAGAGGAGUCAUCAUCCAGGUAAAGUGACGUGGAUCAGUGGAUACACUUGUCUCCCCUUUAAAGGAGACAAUCCAAGUCAUCCUUAAAUAUGGGCAGCAUAUCAGUCUUGGACUGUCUAACCUGCCGGAGCAGCACUGAAUGACCACCACACAUGAGCAUGUUCCUGCAACAUUCAGCAUCUGAUCCUUCAUCUGUGUGCUUCUGCUUUUGUGUCACAUGUCAAACAGCUGGAGAGGAAACUACACCAGUGUACUGAGAUGUUUCACCAACACGUGCCAGAUGCUGUUCCUUCAUGGUGACAUCACCAGAGACAGCCCCACCCACCUCAGGACCUCGCCAUUGAUCAUGAUGAUUAUAAUGAUGACAGCGAGCGGAACUAAGACUGUAAAAAUCCACGACCAGAAUGUUUCUUUCUAAUUAUUAAUGAAUACUGAGAGCCUCGUUCUGUGUUUUGUCUGUUUUGGUUGUGUUUGUUUUACCUCAUUUGUUACUAACAAAGUUCACAAACUCACACAGUUUACAUUCUGUAUGUUUCCAUCUUUACCAGCCACACUCUAACUGCAUUUAAGAAAAUAAUCCUUAGAAAUCGUCGUUUUUCUCUUUUGUAAUUGAUGAUAAUUCAGUGAAUAUACUGUGCUGCUUCCUUUUAUUGCGUCACACAUUGCUUUAUGUUUUUCAGUGUCCAGUUAUUUUUUACUGCUGUUUGAAUUCUCUGUAUGUUUGACCCUGUAGACUGUUUGAUGGACUGCUUGUCUUCCUGUUUGUAACUGCCGCCUGUUUUUUAAUAAAGAUUUGGAUUUCUGACUUCAACACAGCCUCUGCGUGUCCUCCCUUUGUGUCCUCUUCCUCUGUGAAUGUGUUGCAUGUGUCACAGAUUCAUUUUAUUAACAGCUUUCCCACAGUGAGU
This is a long non-coding RNA of Astatotilapia calliptera (eastern happy), 1365 nucleotides long. The record is from Ensembl. Lineage: Eukaryota; Metazoa; Chordata; Actinopteri; Cichliformes; Cichlidae.